This 247-nucleotide ribosomal RNA is filed under the name uncultured Staphylococcus sp. Its description in RNAcentral is "partial 16S ribosomal RNA". It matches the Rfam family "Bacterial small subunit ribosomal RNA", at positions 114 to 355 of the family's 1533-position model. The record is from RNAcentral. Lineage: Bacteria; Bacillati; Bacillota; Bacilli; Caryophanales; Staphylococcaceae.
CACGUGGGUAACCUACCUAUAAGACUGGGAUAACUUACGGGAAACCGGAGCUAAUACUGGAUAAUAUUCGAACCGCAUGGUUCGAUAGUGAAAGGUGGUUUUGCUAUCACUUAUAGAUGGACCCGCGCCGUAUUAGCUAGUUGGUAAGGUAACGGCUUACAAGGCGACGAUACGUAGCCGACCUGAGAGGGUGAUCGGCCACACUGGAACUGAGACACGGUCCAGACUCCUACGGGAGGCAGCAGCA